RNAcentral lists this ribosomal RNA (254 nucleotides) under uncultured bacterium. RNAcentral's name for it is "partial 16S ribosomal RNA". It matches the Rfam family "Bacterial small subunit ribosomal RNA", at positions 524 to 776 of the family's 1533-position model. The record is from RNAcentral.
UACGGGGGGAGCAAGCGUUGUUCGGAUUUACUGGGCGUAAAGGGCGCGUAGGCGGCCACUGCAAGUCAGUUGUGAAAUCUCCGGGCUUAACUCGGAAAGGUCAACUGAUACUGCAGGGCUAGAGUGCAGAAGGGGCAACUGGAAUUCUCGGUGUAGCGGUGAAAUGCGUAGAUAUCGGGAGGAACACCAGUGGCGAAGGCGACUACCUGGCCUGUUCUUGACGCUGAGGCGCGAAAGCUAGGGGAGCAAACGGG